RNAcentral lists this ribosomal RNA (603 nucleotides) under uncultured fungus. Its description in RNAcentral is "eukaryotic LSU rRNA". It matches the Rfam family "Eukaryotic large subunit ribosomal RNA", at positions 23 to 641 of the family's 3401-position model. Lineage: Eukaryota; Fungi. The record is from RNAcentral.
ACCCGCUGAACUUAAGCAUAUCAAUAAGCGGAGGAAAAGAAACCAACAGGGAUUGCCCUAGUAACGGCGAGUGAAGCGGCAACAGCUCAAAUUUGAAAUCUGGCGUCUUUGGCGUCCGAGUUGUAAUUUGCAGAGGGCGCUUUGGCAUUGGCAGCGGUCCAAGUUCCUUGGAACAGGACGUUACAGAGGGUGAGAAUCCCGUACGUGGUCGCUAGCCUUUACCGUGUAAAGCCCCUUCGACGAGUCGAGUUGUUUGGGAAUGCAGCUCUAAAUGGGAGGUAAAUUUCUUCUAAAGCUAAAUACUGGCCAGAGACCGAUAGCGCACAAGUAGAGUGAUCGAAAGAUGAAAAGCACUUUGGAAAGAGAGUUAAAAAGCACGUGAAAUUGUUGAAAGGGAAGCGCUUGCAGCCAGACUUGCCUGUAGUUGCUCAUCCGGGUUUUUACCCGGUGCACUCUUCUAUAGGCAGGCCAGCAUCAGUUUGGGCGGUUGGAUAAAGGUCUCUGUCAUGUACCUCUCUUCGGGGAGAACUUAUAGGGGAGACGACAUGCAACCAGCCCGGACUGAGGUCCGCGCAUCUGCUAGGAUGCUGGCGUAAUGGCUGU